This 168-nucleotide unclassified non-coding RNA is filed under the name uncultured Helotiales. Its description in RNAcentral is "sequence contains ITS1". The record is from RNAcentral. Lineage: Eukaryota; Fungi; Ascomycota; Leotiomycetes; Helotiales.
CAGAGUUCAUGCCCUUACGGGUAGAUCUCCCACCCUGUGUUAUUAUUACCUUUGUUGCUUUGGCGGGCCGUCAGGCUUCGGUCAGGCUACCGGCUCCGGCUGGUAUGUGCCCGCCAGAGGACCCCAAACUCUGAAUAUUAUUGUCGUCUGAGUACUAUAUAAUAGUUA